Long non-coding RNA from Musa acuminata AAA Group (dessert banana), 1576 nucleotides. RefSeq lists it as uncharacterized. The record is from RefSeq and is a predicted model, not a curated record. The transcript is spliced from 4 exons. NCBI's taxonomy places the organism in Eukaryota, Viridiplantae, Streptophyta, Magnoliopsida, Zingiberales, Musaceae.
GUGUCAUUGAAGACAUUUUGUUGGUUUCGUCUUUCUUGAUUCUAGCUCGUCUUGCCUAGGGUUUGAAGGUAAACUAUUAGGAUUUACCCGGAAGAGGUAGCCGUCUGAGGUUCGUUUAACCCCUUCCGUGGUGGCUUCACCAGAGCGGAGAAAGAUUAAGUCUUCAAUGACACGCCAUGAACCCUAAGUAUUUCUUUCUUGCAUAUAUCUCGCGAACCGCCACCUUCACCUUCAUCCCUUGAUCCCUUUUUUUGAUUUGCCAGGUCGAAUCGUGAGUCGUCAGGAUCACCCUUUUUUGUGCAUUUCUCUAUUCGUUUCAAAUGCUUCUUGUUUCAGAUAAGGAAGCAUCAUAGUUUUUCUCUCUUUUUUUUUGGAGAAUAGUGAUGAACCAUCGAUUAUUAUCCGCCCUUUUUCUUGUCCCCUCCACCUUUUAUCCACUAUCUGGAAUGAUACUGUAAAAGAAGACUGUCAGCAAGGAGCUUCUUUUUGCUUGUUAUUUCUCCGGCCCUACAAGUUACUUUCGGCAGAUGAUGACUCUUUCUCACUUGCUAACCACUCCUCGUGGUCCAGCCACUCAUUUGAUCCUCUGUCAUUUGUGGUUGAAGAUUGAUGGAAAGACCGACCAUUAAAGAACGCGUUCUUUAUUGUUUUUUCCCCCAAUGGAGUUCAUUGUGAUCCAGUGUUUAAACAUGGUGAAGACUCUAGCAUGCAGAGAGCUAAAUUGACUCUUGAAAGGAUGUUAGUAUGAUUUGGUUUGCUUCUUGUCUCAUAAAUUUACCAGAAAUGUGCCAUACAAGGGACAUGCAAGAUACAUAUUUGUUUCUAUAAAGAAUUUGUUCAUGUUUCUUGGAUUAUGGAAUCAAAUGUGGGUGGUAAUUGCCCGAUCCAAGGCUUAAGUGCAUAGAGGUGAUUGAGACAGAAGAGGUGAAGACCACGCAAUCAAAAGCAUGUAGGUCUAUCUCCCAGGCAAAUAUGACUGCAGAAGACACCACCAUAUCAAAGUGUCACUUCUGCAUAUGUUGUAACUCUCUAAUACCCAGUUCAUGUCUCUCUAGCACCACAAAGAGAGGAGGAAUACUCUAUCUAAGAUCGGGUGGAACUGGAUGGUGCUGAGUAAGUUUUCAUGUGAAGUUGACACCCCACCUUGAUGGUGAAUAAAAUUCUGUGUGCAGUUGGAAGAGAAGCAAUCCGGCUUAGGCUUCGAUUAGAGAUCUCUGCCUCUGGAGCCCUGCUGAGCAAAGCCCAAAGUUACCUUCUGGGGGUCAGGUUGGUGUUAAGCAGGAAAUGUACCGAGGUACAAGAGAAGCUGGUGGGUGGUGAUCUUUGGGGUACUAUCGCCCUCGGGAUUUGCUCUGCACGAUACUGAAUGAGACCGUCACUCACGCAUAGCUGCACCCACCCAUUGAACACUGUUCGCACACUCUUAUUACGAGAACAGUGGCUUGCUUUCUAAUAUGUAUAUGCUCCCUUGAAGAUCACUUUGGGCAAAGCAAAAAUUCUAACAUAACUGAAGUUGUAAAUUCUAAGUUGAUGUGUGAACGUGCAGAUCGACAGCAAUGAUAUCUGCCACUUGGAU